ACCUUAUUGCUUUAAAUUUCUACUCAUCAAUUCAUUGCUUCCAUUGCAUAUACAUUUAAUUCAUCUAAGUAGUGCACAUAAUUGUUGCAAGUUAGAAAAAAAUUUUAAAACCCAAUUCAUUCCUCUUGAGUUACAUCUCUGGGCAACAAUACUAUAGAAAGGCUCCAUGGCUAGUUUGGUUAAUUUCAUUUGAAACUAAUUAAAACAAUCAAAAUAGACUGAAACUAGUAAGUUUCAAAUGAAAUUAGAUGAAACUAUGGAAACACAAAGUUUGAGGUCAACUUCAGGUUAUUCUUUGC
RNAcentral lists this long non-coding RNA (299 nucleotides) under Elaeis guineensis (African oil palm). Its description in RNAcentral is "long non-coding RNA (EGUI_LNC012839)". The record is from RNAcentral. Lineage: Eukaryota; Viridiplantae; Streptophyta; Magnoliopsida; Arecales; Arecaceae.